Molecule: ribosomal RNA, 471 nt
Filed under: uncultured organism
Description: partial 16S ribosomal RNA
Rfam family: Bacterial small subunit ribosomal RNA
Source: RNAcentral
CACUCCUGCGGGAGGCAGCAGUGGGGAAUUUUGGACAAUGGGCGAAAGCCUGAUCCAGCAAUGCCGCGUGUGUGAAGAAGGCCUUCGGGUUGUAAAGCACUUUUGUCCGGAAAGAAAUCCUUGGCUCUAAUACAGUCGGGGGAUGACGGUACCGGAAGAAUAAGCACCGGCUAACUACGUGCCAGCAGCCGCGGUAAUACGUAGGGUGCGAGCGUUAAUCGGAAUUACUGGGCGUAAAGCGUGCGCAGGCGGUUUGCUAAGACCGAUGUGAAAUCCCCGGGCUCAACCUGGGAACUGCAUUGGUGACUGGCAGGCUAGAGUAUGGCAGAGGGGGGUAGAAUUCCACGUGUAGCAGUGAAAUGCGUAGAGAUGUGGAGGAAUACCGAUGGCGAAGGCAGCCCCCUGGGCCAAUACUGACGCUCAUGCACGAAAGCGUGGGGAGCAAACAGGAUUAGAUACCCUAGUAGUCCC